Molecule: long non-coding RNA, 137 nt
Organism: Labeo rohita (rohu)
Lineage: Eukaryota; Metazoa; Chordata; Actinopteri; Cypriniformes; Cyprinidae
Exons: 2
Source: RefSeq, a predicted model, not a curated record
CUAGAAUUAGCAAAUCAACUGUGCCGUUGUCUCUAGAAUUUGGGCAGGAAAUGACCAAAUAUGGAGGAUGAAGCCAGUUGAUGAAGAGAUCAAUUCAAUGGCCAUCAGGUAUCUGCUGUUAAGACUGCAUUGGCGGA